UACAGAGGUCUCAAGCGUUGUUCGGAUUCAUUGGGCGUAAAGGGUGCGUAGGCGGCGCGGUAAGUCGGGUGUGAAAUCUCGGAGCUUAACUCCGAAACUGCAUUCGAUACUGCCGUGCUUGAGGACUGGAGAGGAGACUGGAAUUUACGGUGUAGCGGUGAAAUGCGUAGAUAUCGUAAGGAAGACCAGUGGCGAAGGCGGGUCUCUGGACAGCUCCUGACACUGAGACACGAAGGCCAGGGGAGCAAACGGG
RNAcentral lists this ribosomal RNA (253 nucleotides) under uncultured bacterium. RNAcentral's name for it is "partial 16S ribosomal RNA". It matches the Rfam family "Bacterial small subunit ribosomal RNA", at positions 524 to 776 of the family's 1533-position model. The record is from RNAcentral.